This 138-nucleotide ribosomal RNA is filed under the name Armillaria gallica. RNAcentral's name for it is "partial 28S ribosomal RNA". It matches the Rfam family "Eukaryotic large subunit ribosomal RNA", at positions 1 to 139 of the family's 3401-position model. RNAcentral also lists the same sequence under 2 other names. Lineage: Eukaryota; Fungi; Basidiomycota; Agaricomycetes; Agaricales; Physalacriaceae. The record is from RNAcentral.
GACCUCAAAUCAGGUAGGACUACCCGCUGAACUUAAGCAUAUCAAUAAGCGGAGGAAAAGAAACUAACAAGGAUUCCCCUAGUAACUGCGAGUGAAGAGGGAAAAGCUCAAAUUUAAAAUCUGGCAGCUUCGCUGUCC